This 346-nucleotide unclassified non-coding RNA is filed under the name soil metagenome. Its description in RNAcentral is "partial contains 5.8S ribosomal RNA, internal transcribed spacer 2, and large subunit ribosomal RNA". The stretch from base 1 to 121 matches the Rfam family "5.8S ribosomal RNA", at positions 35 to 154 of the family's 154-position model. The record is from RNAcentral.
GAUGAAGAACGUAGCGAAAUGCGAUAAGUAAUGCGAAUUGCAGAAUUUCCGUGAGUCAUCGAAUCUUUGAACGCACAUUGCGCCCACUGGUAUUCCGGUGGGCAUGCCUGUUCGAGCGUCAUUAUCCUCCCUCAAACCCCGGGUUUGGUGUUGGACCGAAGUUGUGUGAACAACUGUUCUAAAAGACAAUGACGGCGUCCGUGGGACCCUCGGUGCAACGAGCUUUUAGGAGCACGCGCCGAGUUGCAAGGACCUUCCGGGCCGGUCUCCUUUUACUAUUUUACAAGGUUGACCUCGGAUCAGGUAGGAAUACCCGCUGAACUUAAGCAUAUCAAUAAGCGGAGGA